UACGGGGGGAGCAAGCGUUGUUCGGAUUUACUGGGCGUAAAGGGCGCGUAGGCGGAUGUGUCAGUCAGGGGUGAAAUCCCGGAGCUCAACUUCGGAACUGCCUUUGAUACAGCACGUCUUGAGUCCGAUAGAGGUGGGUGGAAUUCCUAGUGUAGAGGUGAAAUUCGUAGAUAUUAGGAAGAACACCGGUGGCGAAGGCGGCCCACUGGAUCGGUACUGACGCUGAGGUGCGAAAGCGUGGGGAGCAAACAGG
Molecule: ribosomal RNA, 253 nt
Filed under: uncultured bacterium
Lineage: Bacteria
Description: partial 16S ribosomal RNA
Rfam family: Bacterial small subunit ribosomal RNA
Source: RNAcentral